AACGUGGGUAACCUGCCCAAGAGAUCGGGAUAACACCUGGAAACAGAUGCUAAUACCGGAUAACAACGGAUGAUGCCUAUCAACUGUUUAAAAGAUGGUUCUGCUAUCACUCUUGGAUGGACCUGCGGUGCAUUAGCUAGUUGGUAGGGUAACGGCCUACCAAGGCGAUGAUGCAUAGCCGAGUUGAGAGACUGAUCGGCCACAUUGGGACUGAGACACGGCCCAAACUCCUACGGGAGGCAGCAGGG
Molecule: ribosomal RNA, 248 nt
Filed under: uncultured Lactobacillus sp.
Lineage: Bacteria; Bacillati; Bacillota; Bacilli; Lactobacillales; Lactobacillaceae
Description: partial 16S ribosomal RNA
Rfam family: Bacterial small subunit ribosomal RNA
Source: RNAcentral